GCUCCGUAGGUGAACCUGCGGAGGGAUCAUUACAGAGUUCAUGCCCUAACGGGUAGAUCUCCCACCCUAUGUUAUCAUCACUUUGUUGCUUUGGCGGGCCGUCAGGCCUCGGCUUGGCUACCGGCUCUCGCUGGUAAGCGCCCGCCAGAGAACCCCAAACCCUGAAUAUCAGUGUCGUCUGAGUACUAUAUAAUAGUUAAAACUCUCAACAACGGAUCUCUUGGUUCUGGCAUAGAUGAAGAACGCAGC
RNAcentral lists this unclassified non-coding RNA (249 nucleotides) under plant metagenome. RNAcentral's name for it is "partial contains small subunit ribosomal RNA, internal transcribed spacer 1, and 5.8S ribosomal RNA". The stretch from base 201 to 249 matches the Rfam family "5.8S ribosomal RNA", at positions 1 to 49 of the family's 154-position model. The record is from RNAcentral.